UUAAAUUGAAGAGUUUGAUCAUGGCUCAGAUUGAACGCUGGCGGCAGGCCUAACACAUGCAAGUCGAACGGUAACAGGAAGCAGCUUGCUGCUUUGCUGACGAGUGGCGGACGGGUGAGUAAUGUCUGGGAAGCUGCCUGAUGGAGGGGGAUAACUACUGGAAACGGUAGCUAAUACCGCAUAACGUCGCAAGACCAAAGAGGGGGACCUUCGGGCCUCUUGCCAUCGGAUGUGCCCAGAUGGGAUUAGCUAGUAGGUGGGGUAACGGCUCACCUAGGCGACGAUCCCUAGCUGGUCUGAGAGGAUGACCAGCCACACUGGAACUGAGACACGGUCCAGACUCCUACGGGAGGCAGCAGUGGGGAAUAUUGCACAAUGGGCGCAAGCCUGAUGCAGCCAUGCCGCGUGUAUGAAGAAGGCCUUCGGGUUGUAAAGUACUUUCAGCGGGGAGGAAGGGAGUAAAGUUAAUACCUUUGCUCAUUGACGUUACCCGCAGAAGAAGCACCGGCUAACUCCGUGCCAGCAGCCGCGGUAAUACG
Molecule: ribosomal RNA, 539 nt
Filed under: Escherichia coli
Lineage: Bacteria; Pseudomonadati; Pseudomonadota; Gammaproteobacteria; Enterobacterales; Enterobacteriaceae
Description: bacterial SSU rRNA
Rfam family: Bacterial small subunit ribosomal RNA
Source: RNAcentral